AGUUCUCCUCUGUAUAUUCAGUCUGAACAUUUGGUACAAUAUCAUUGGUAGUUAACAGUGUUACUGCAUUGAUUCAGCUGUAAGGUUAGAGGUUAAUUGUGCCAUGUACAGGCAGCAACAUUGUUUUCUCUGUGGCCCAGGUGAGGCAUGCAGUAAAUGUCAAUAGUGCUAAGGUGCAGUCAUCCAUUCAUAAAUUCUUGCUUUUUUGCUGAAACUGGAAACAGUUCAUCCUAUGUGAAGUCAAUUGUGGAAGAUUGGGGAAUCAUCAGUCUCAACGUAACUCGAGAGCGUCUCGGGACAGAGCUUCUGUGUAUGCUGGAAGACUUUCUUGACAUCAUACAGAACGGAAUACAACAGAAGCAGGAAACAUCAAAAAUCACUGUUAACCGUAGAGCAUCGGUUUACAAUUCUUGCAAAAAUCAAGUUAUGAUUUAUGUGUAUGUUGUUAUAAAAACAAUCAAACAGACCUAAAUGUAAUCUGUUAAACUCAGUCUAUUUUGCAUUCAAACAUUGCUUUAAAUAAAGAGACAGGUGAUUUAUUUGAGCAGAGCUUGUUUUCUGCCCCCACUAUUUGGAAAGGCUAAUACGAAAAUACAAAUUUAUAUAUAUAUAUAUAUAU
Molecule: long non-coding RNA, 619 nt
Organism: Carassius carassius (crucian carp)
Lineage: Eukaryota; Metazoa; Chordata; Actinopteri; Cypriniformes; Cyprinidae
Exons: 3
Source: RefSeq, a predicted model, not a curated record